Molecule: ribosomal RNA, 434 nt
Filed under: uncultured bacterium
Lineage: Bacteria
Description: partial 16S ribosomal RNA
Rfam family: Bacterial small subunit ribosomal RNA
Source: RNAcentral
GAACGAACGCUGGCGGCAUGCCUAACCCAUGCAAGUCGAACGAGACCUUCGGGUCUAGUGGCGCACGGGUGCGUAACGCGUGGCAACCUGCCCUUAGGUUCGGAAUAACUCCCCGAAAGGGGUGCUAAUACCGGAUAAUGUCUUCGGACCAAAGAUUUAUCGCCUUUGGAUGGGCCCGCGUUGGAUUAGCUAGUUGGUAGGGUAAAAGCCUACCAAGGCGACGAUCCAUAGCUGGUCUGAGAGGAUGAUCAGCCACACUGGGACUGGGACACGGCCCAGAAUCCUACGGGAGGCAGGAAGGGGGAAUAUUGGACAAUGGGCGAAAGCCUGAUCCAGCAAUGCCGCGUGAGUGAUGAAGGCCUUAGGGUUGUAAAGCUCUUUUACCCGGGAUGAUAAUGACAGUACCGGGAGAAUAAGCUCCGGCUAACUCCGUG